This 506-nucleotide long non-coding RNA is filed under the name Vitis vinifera (wine grape). RNAcentral describes it as "long non-coding RNA (VVIN_LNC001164)". Lineage: Eukaryota; Viridiplantae; Streptophyta; Magnoliopsida; Vitales; Vitaceae. The record is from RNAcentral.
UUUAGUGUCUUCCACUUGCAACACAAUAUGCAGAUAAAAGAUGUGAGUCAUGACUCUAUUACAAUUACUGAAGUUGCGUUUAGGUUUGGGCUGGAGGGGAAGAACACAAUAUGUGGAAACAUGUGAAUACUGAGUUGGAGAGAGAGAGUGUCUUCCACUUUUAAUACAAUUAUGUAGAUCAAAGAUGUGAGUGCUUUGAAUAUUAUAAUUAGGUAAAAUGCGUUUAGGUUUGGCUUGAAGGAUGGAGGGAUGGGGACAGAGGGUAAUAACUUCAACCAUCCUAUCUAAUAACUAAUAACUAAGUUGUCGUUUUGGAUACACUUCUUGUUUUCUGUUUUUAAAAAUAAAAAAUGAUAGUACUUAUAAAAAAAAUAGAAAUAAAAAAUGAUAGUGACUUCUAUAUAUAAAAUACAGGAACUUUUAUGGAAAAAGUAUUAGAUUUGCCUAAUGCCUUUAAAAAUUACUUUUAAAAUUUUUAAAAUUUGAGAUAAUAAUUUUUUUUUAAU